UCUUUACAGGAAGUUGGGAAGAGCAGAAAAUUGUGUUAUUACUUCAGAACACAACAUUAUUUCCUUAGAAAAAGAAGGAUUUUUGUUGGGAACAUAGAGUAAGGGAUGGGUUAUCUAUCAGAGUAAAUGUUUAAAUUCCAAGUUAAUAUGCUUGCAAACAUCACUGCUCUGUCAUGGCACCGGCAGUUGGUUGAAAUUACCCACAGAGCCAUCCUAUUAUAUGCUAUCACCAUGGACUUCACAUCGUGUGCUGCCACUAAGUCAGUAGCAUUUAAUCCCAGCAUAUGUGAGUUUAAAGGAAUGCAGUCUCCUGUUCUUCAAAGCUUAUAUCUUAGAUACUGUUUAUGACCUAGGUUGACCUUUGACAUUUCACACAGGUUGAACAGCAAAAUCAAACCAACCACUUUAAAUUUGUCAUUCCCAAGCCAUAUCUGAGUGGUUCCAAAGUCAUUCAAGAGGAAGGUUUAAAUUAUCCCUGCUAACCCCACCAUUGCUAUGAAAGAGCACCCAUUUUCAUUCCAAUUAAGCCAUAAAGAGGUUUCUUUCUUGUUGGAUUUUGAAAAUAAUUGGUUUCAUUCUUUCUUUUGCCCUUCUUCCUUCCAGUGUUGUACUGUUUCCCCUCUGUGAGCAGACUAAAUCUUCCUGCAGAGAGGAAUAAGCUGACACUCUCUAAGCUUCUUAAGGAAGGACCUAAAGCUCAAUUGGCAUUAACCUCUAGUAGGUGAGAAAUUUCAAAUAACUC
This 742-nucleotide long non-coding RNA is filed under the name Bos taurus (domestic cattle). RNAcentral describes it as "long non-coding RNA NONBTAT015163". Lineage: Eukaryota; Metazoa; Chordata; Mammalia; Artiodactyla; Bovidae. The record is from RNAcentral.